CUUGAUUAAACCAUAAGAGGUCCAGCCUGCCCAGUGACAUUGUUCAACGGCCGCGGUAUCCUAACCGUGCGAAGGUAGCGUAAUCACUUGUCCUUUAAAUGAAGACUAGUAUGAAUGGCCCCACGAAAGCUAUACUGUCUCCUUUUUCUAAUCAGUUAAACUAAUCUCCCCGUGAAGAAGCGGGGAUAAACAUAUAAGACGAGAAGACCCUAUGGAGCUUUAAACAACUGAAACAUUUGUAUACCUCCCUUCACCUACCCACAUUUAACUCCACAUUUUGUUUCUAGUUUUAGGUUGGGGUGACCACGGAGAAAAAACUAACCUCCACGAUGAAAGAGACAUCUCUAAACAAAAAGCUACAUCUUUAUGUAUUAAUACAUUAACCUUUAUUGACCCAAUAAAUUGAUCAACGAAC
Molecule: ribosomal RNA, 415 nt
Filed under: Anomaloglossus cf. baeobatrachus ABGD cluster 4
Lineage: Eukaryota; Metazoa; Chordata; Amphibia; Anura; Aromobatidae
Description: partial large subunit ribosomal RNA
Rfam family: Bacterial large subunit ribosomal RNA
Source: RNAcentral